GUGAACCUUUACUAUAGCUUGACACUGAACAUUGAGCCUUGAUGUGUAGGAUAGGUGGGAGGCUUUGAAGUGUGGACGCCAGUCUGCAUGGAGCCGACCUUGAAAUACCACCCUUUAAUGUUUGAUGUUCUAACGUUGACCCGUAAUCCGGGUUGCGGACAGUGUCUGGUGGGUAGUUUGACUGGGGCGGUCUCCUCCUAAAGAGUAACGGAGGAGCACGAAGGUUGGCUAAUCCUGGUCGGACAUCAGGAGGUUAGUGCAAUGGCAUAAGCCAGCUUGACUGCGAGCGUGACGGCGCGAGCAGGUGCGAAAGCAGGUCAUAGUGAUCCGGUGGUUCUGAAUGGAAGGGCCAUCGCUCAACGGAUAAAAGGUACUCCGGGGAUAACAGGCUGAUACCGCCCAAGAGUUCAUAUCGACGGCGGUGUUUGGCACCUCGAUGUCGGCUCAUCACAUCCUGGGGCUGAAGUAGGUCCCAAGGGUAUGGCUGUUCGCCAUUUAAAGUGGUACGCGAGCUGGGUUUAGAACGUCGUGAGACAGUUCGGUCCCUAUCUGCCGUGGGCGCUGGAGAACUGAGGGGGGCUGCUCCUAGUACGAGAGGACCGGAGUGGACGCAUCACUGGUGUUCGGGUUGUCAUGCCAAUGGCACUGCCCGGUAGCUAAAUGCGGAAGAGAUAAGUGCUGAAAGCAUCUAAGCACGAAACUUGCC
RNAcentral lists this ribosomal RNA (706 nucleotides) under Escherichia coli. Its description in RNAcentral is "partial 23S ribosomal RNA". It matches the Rfam family "Bacterial large subunit ribosomal RNA", at positions 2093 to 2798 of the family's 2925-position model. Lineage: Bacteria; Pseudomonadati; Pseudomonadota; Gammaproteobacteria; Enterobacterales; Enterobacteriaceae. The record is from RNAcentral.